Molecule: ribosomal RNA, 207 nt
Filed under: uncultured bacterium
Lineage: Bacteria
Description: partial 16S ribosomal RNA
Rfam family: Bacterial small subunit ribosomal RNA
Source: RNAcentral
AGCGCAGGCGGAUGGGUCAGUUCAAAGUGGAAUCCCAGGGCUCAACCCUGGACGUGCUUUGGAUACUGCCGGUCUUGAGUUCGUGAGAGGAAAGUGGAAUUCAGGGUGUAGCGGUGAAAUGCUUGGAUAUCCUGAGGAACACCAGUGGCGAAAGCGACUUUCUGGCACGAAACUGACGCUGAGGCUCGAAAGCAUGGGUAGCGAACG